GAGAGAAUGAGCAUGAAUGUGGGUUAUGGUCACAGAUAUACUGUAGGAAUGUUUUAGAAGUAGUUUUUUGUGUGCUUGAGUAUAUAGUACGCUCUGAGUAGCUGUUUUUAAUUGCAGCAUGGUUUUGGUUUUGUAGGCGAGUUUUCUGUGAGUUCACUGUGAAAGGUCUUUCUGCUUGUUUACAGCCAGACUCGAGAGCAGCUCAUAUUCACAUUGGGCCAUGUUUCAUUUCCUAAUUUAUAUGCACGUUUUUUAAAAGAUAUUCACAAUUUAACCUUUAAAUUUGGUGCUGCAAAGCAAAUCCAAUUCCGAUUUACUUUUCAGAGGUUAAUUUGCUCUUUGUUUGAGAUAUAAAAUCAAGAAAUAUUUUAUGUUUUUUUUGUUGUUUUGUUAUGUUUCUUUUGUUGGCUGAUUUAAAGCUAAAAAGGAGGGCCAGGAUGGAGGACGCAUGGCUGGUUUUGAUUCCCAAAAAGUCCUUUUUGUCAGGAUGUUGCUAUUAAAAGCUUUCACAGCUAAACUUUAGUCAGUCCUUUACCUCAAUUGGAUUCAAUACACGGAAGAAACUAAGGCUAGACCGCAUCAUCACCUCGGGCUAGCCUGGGACCAGUGCCAAUAUCUUGCUGCUCAUAAGACUCCUUACUUUAUACCUCAUCUUCCAAUGCCUCGCUGUUCUGCCCGCUCUACUUUAGUUUUAAAAUCAAAGAUGGCGAACUCACACAGCUGCCACUGAAUGUUGUUUUCCUUUUCUUUUCAUCAUAGCCCUCAUCCAUUAUGCACUGUACAAGCCUUGAUAUGCAUCCCAUGCUUGUGUUGUUUCAGAGGCAGACAUGGCUUCUGUGUGUUUUUCCUUUCUUUUAAAACAAAUCACACCUGCAGAGAAUCUCUGAGUUUGAUGCAGGUUGUAUAUCAAACAUCUGCGUACGCACAAGUACAUAUCCAGCCUAGCAUGAAGGUUUUAAAAUGACUCCCCUGAAGACAUGUUUAAAUGUCUGUGAACCGAUCAAGCAAGCAAAAAGUCCUUUUCACUUCUCCUUUCGAUGCUGUAUGAGCUGGGAUCAAAGCAGGAAGAAGCUUUUUAUUAAAUGUGCGAAUCAGAUUUUAUGGAUGGUCUGAUUUGUUGUACUGUCUUUGAAUAAUGUUUUUAAGUUGGCAGAUUCCAAAUACCCGGCCUUGAGAUUUUUUUCCUGAGGCAUUAAGUAGAACGCUGUGAAUCACUCAAUACUGAACUGUAUUGCUAUACAGAAGCUGAAUGCACUAUACAGGAGAUCUAUUUUUCUGAAUGUAGAGUUGGUACUACCAUAUGAAUGCUGCUGGAUCAAAAACAAUAGACAAAAACAAAGAAAAAAUGCAAAUACAAAAAAAACAUUCACACCAACUUAGACAGAAAUAAAUGUAACGGCGUGCAGAAGGCGAGCAGAUACUGCAGUCUCAGUUCUGUUCCAAAGAAAGAGGAAGGUUCAAGAAAGAAGCUGAGAUCCCACAAGCAACAUAUUAACAGUAACACAGUAACAUAGUACUAACUGCAGCUGCAACUUUUUCCUUUUCCUGAAAAUGACUUGAAACACAUGCAGACUCAAAACACCAUUAAUAAAAUUGAUAAACUCAAUAAAAUGCUACACGCACACUUGUGUGCUGUACACAGAUUUGUACAUAUCGCUCUGGAAAGAGCAAAUCUGAAAGAUACAACGAAGAAGCGAAUCUUGUUUAUUUUAGGCAGUUUUAUGUGACGGGAUGAUCAAAAACAGCUGAAGCUACACAAAACGCUGAUAAGAUAUGGAAAGAAAAAAAAGUGCAUCUUUCAGUUCGAUUUCAUCUCCUGCAUUAAAAUGAUCACAAUCAACGUAUGGUGUCAUCUGUCCAUCUAAUCUUUCUGCAUGUGAUUUAUUUAGUUAUAUCCUGAAUGUACUUGUUUAACAUUGAAAUAAUAAUAACAAUAAUAAUUAUAAUGAAAAAAAUACAAUGCUAUUUUAAAGAAGUAUAUUUGAAAAAAAAGCUAAUUGUCUUAACUGGUACUGACCUAAUAUAAAACUGGGCUGUGCUUUUAUUGCUUGCCCUAUUAACAUGUUGUAAAAAAAAGACACUGUACUGGUAGUUCUGUUUGAUUCUUUCUUUCUCUCUCUUUCUGUCUCUCUCUCUUAUUUUUAUUUUUAUUUUUUAUUUUUUGCAUUGUAUUAAAUUUAUGGUUUCUUCCGCAGCGCAAUAUUCAAUAUCUCUCUGUCUCUUUAAAUCUAACUGGUAAAACUAGAACUACUGCAGAUUCAUUGUAAAAGGGAAACAGCCUGGUGAUCAUCAAUUAAAAUAUAUGAAAUCUAAAUGUGGUCCCUGUGUGUUUUUUUUAAUUCUUUUUCUUUUUUGAAAAUGUCACUAAAAUCUAACUGAAUUAUGAGAGACCACAUACAGUAUGUCAUCUGCUGUAUGUUUCUGUACACAUGUUUUAUGAUUUUUUGUUGUUGUUGUGAUUUUGUCUCUGUGCACCACUACAGUUUGUUCCAGCAAUUAAGCAAUUCAGCUGUAAAGCAAGGUCUUAUUAUCUGAUUAACUAUUUUAGAGACAUUUUUAUACACAGUCCCCCAUUUUCAGAGGCACAAAACUAAUUGCAUGAUUGACUGACAGCAGUUUUCUGACCAGGUGAGGCCCUGAUCAUUCUGUGAUGAAUUAAUCAGGUAAAAGAUCUGGAGUAGAGUUCAAGUGUUUAACGUGUAUUUGGUAUCAUGUCAGAGGCACUCUAAAUACAGUAUGAAAUUAUGAGGAGGCCAUCAUUUGGUUGAAAAAAACAACAACUUCAGGAUAUGGAGUCUGGUUCCUUCUUAAAAAGAAUAAAUGCGCUGCCCAGUUCAGCAAGACCAAAAGACCUGGAAG
Long non-coding RNA from Astatotilapia calliptera (eastern happy), 2859 nucleotides. The record is from Ensembl. Lineage: Eukaryota; Metazoa; Chordata; Actinopteri; Cichliformes; Cichlidae.